ACUAUACUAUUUGGGAACAAACAUCUUUUUUGUUAGAAUUUUGGGAGAGGUUAAAGAUUUACAGCAUGAUGACACGUGUGUGUUUUACUCCAUUGUUGCUUCGGUGUUGCCUCAUUUGUGUGCCCUCUGCAAAAAAUUGGAGCCUUUUUCCUUGGUAGUGCUCUAUUUUGGUAGGUUGGAUGUGUGGCUAUAGCUGCAUAGUGGCUAGCUUCUAGGUUUGUCUCUCUUCUUCCUUUCUCUGGUGGGUCCCCGUGGUCAAAGCGGUGCAAACUCUGUUUAGAUUUGGAUAGAAAGAAGGCAACACGGUGCUAGGUACCAGGUGUCCCUCCAUUGGUGCUCCACCGCACAAAGGAAACACACGAUCGGCCACACCGUGAUUUCUUCAUCCACAUCGCCGUGUCCAAACCCUUCUUUCUGGCUAGGUGGUCGGCGAGCACAGCGGCAGCUUGCGGCGCGCUCGAUCUAGAGGGCACGGAGAGACUGCCGAGUGAGGGAGAAGAAUAAGCCCCCUUUCUUCAGUUUUUUCAGGGCGCUCAGCGUCAUAUGGCUCCCACCGGAGGGGAUGCCGGCGGCAGCGAAGUGCCAAAGGGCCCUGCGCCGGAUGGACCGAGGAACUCCGUGCUGAGCUCACGGGGAACCUGCGUGGUGCGGCUAGAGCUAGCCCCCAAAAAAAUCUGCUCGAGAUCGCCCCAAUUCCAACACAGGGCCACCGACGCGGCGAGGAGCCCUACGAUGGCGGGUUCGAGGAUCUAUUGGUCAUGCUAAUCGCCCACCUGCGGGACGUCGGGGACCAUCUCUGCGUGCUCCAGUCAUGUAAUCUUCUGAAGGCCGUCAUGGUGUUCCUCUCUGCCGGAGCAUCCCAGCGUCGGUGGCGGCCGCCGCGGCUCCCUGAGGCUGUUGUGUCUAGCCAGUCGCUCGCCCCCGCGAGCGUCCUAGCAUCGGUGGCCGCCGCCGCUACCACCGGAAAUCGCGGCAACCGUGUCUAGCCAGUCUGUCGUUGUUCAUCCCGCCCUUCACCGGCGCGUCAGCCGUAACUUCGCCCAGCGUGUGCCACCAUACAUGUGGAAACAGAUUGGAUAGGCGGGAGUACUACCAGCGACACCAACACGCCAGCAGGCAAUGGUGCCUACAUCGGCCACACAAAGAUUUUGCCUCCCGGCCUCCCAGAAGCUGCUGGUGCCGGUGUCUACAAAGCAGCCCAGCUACACGAGCUUCAUAGAGGCUCCAGUGCCACUGGCAAGUUGAACAGAAAUGUGGCGUUGAGUUCGGUGACCACCGCCGCGGGGACUCCAGGUGAUCCAUUAGGCCAUUACCCAUUUCCUCCUCUUAAUCGAUCUGGUGUUCUCUCUCCCACCUUUUGUUUCCCCUUAUAAGUUCAGUCCAAUGAACACCACCAGUUGACCACAAUACUAUUUUGUUUCCCUUGAUGCUAUUUCAAUCUCAAAGUAGCGGCAAACACACAAGCAAGUUCGCCGUGUCUGCCCUUGUGGCCUUCAUCUCUUUCAGUUCUUCGUUGACGUGCACCGUGUCAAAUUGGAAAACUUCUUAUAUUGUUUCCAGUGCAUUUGUCAACUAUAUUGUAUUUUACUUCUUCACUCUUGAGCCUGUAGAUAUUUAUUCCAUAAACUUAUAUUUUUGUUGAGGGUCUUUAGGAUUAUUAUCUGUCUUUGAACUUAUUUCGGUUGCCUUCAAUACUGAUAUGAUUUUACUGACUAGAUAUUCGAAAAUGCUACAGUGCAUGGAGACAUUGUUCUUGUUGUCCCUGUCGAAGCCACUGUAAAAGAGACGAGCGGUCCAUAUAUCUGGUGAUGUCCAGACGUUCCCCUGAUGCUUUAUGUAUUCAUAAUAUCCCAGUUAUGGUUUGUAUACCUCCUUCUGGUAUUGCUAGGAGCCCGAAACGGCAGGUGUAUAUUGCUGAUGGGUGAUGGCAGCGAGCAUGCCGUUGUUACCCUCUUGAGGGAACAGGCUGAUCUAUUUGGUGCUGACGGAUUCAUGGAGACAUCACGAAGAGCCCAUUAUCGUCUUAUUUGUUGGCAUGACAGCAAGUUGUGAUUUAUGUUUUAUAGGCUUGCUGGCCUUCAAUAGUACAUCUGUUACAAGAUGGCACGUUAAUGCGCUGAUUCCAGUGAUUGUUGUUGUCUGAUAGAGUGAAAUCAAGGUCGUGCUGAGCCAACUGCAUCAACGAUCGCCUAGAUAGCGACACUUGAGCCAAAUGACAUUAUGGUAUUUUAGUGCCCUGUGGUCUAUCCUUUUUUGCAUUCUCUGAUUAAAUCUAUUGUUAAUUGUGUUUAGGGUGACCGCUAUAAAGUAUCUAUUGGAAUUACUGAAGUCCUCGCAGACAAGGGCUGGGAUUAUAUAAGCUGCAAACAAUGAUGCAAGAAAAUUAAGUUAGAAGAUAGAGUAUAUAAGUUCCCUUGAUGCCCUACUGUUAUACCUCUCCCAAGGUAUAGGUUCAUUGUUCGAGCAGUUGACGCUGGUUCAGUAGAUUCUCAAAAUGCCAAUUUUGCAGACCUUCAUUUGUUUGAGCCUUGUGGAGAGAUUGUCAUCGUGAGAUUGUCCUCAAAAUUUCUCGAUAAAAUGUCAAACUGCAUAUGAGCGACCAAAAGGAAAAUUGGUUCAAAUCACCAGAAAAGUGGCAUUGUAGCUUGUGUCAAGCGUGAGAGGGCAGGCUAACACCAUGCCCUAGGAUUUGCUUGCCAUCAUGGGAAGGGAAUUCAGUAUUGUUGCUACUGGACGUGAAUCAUUGGAUGCAUUGCACAAUCAACAACUCCAGUUGGAGAUUGUUGAUCCGAUCAUUGUGCCAGUGUUGCCCAGCGGCACGGCAUAGAUGGUUCAGCUUUAGGUCAGAGCAGCGAAUGCUUCUCUACUCCUGAAACUCCAAAGCAGGCUCCAUGUCCUGGUGAGACUUCAGUUCCACCGCCGUCCAUGGAUCUCAUGCAUGCCACAAAGUACAUUGUCGUCAGCAUCUGCUAUCAAUGAGGUAUAUAUUUAUGGGAAAAAAAACUCAAUGAGGUAUAAUUUGACAGUCUUAGCAAGGUACUGGUGUUUUGGGGUUUCUGACAGACAAUAUGUUUCUGUUGUACACUGGCUCCGAUGCCGCUGGAGGAAGAAAGCGCAAGAAUGUUGGUACUGGAAAGAACCCCAAGUCGAAAAAGGGGUUGCAUUUCUCAGAUGAUAACUAGGUUCAUGUGCACAUGUUCGUGUGCUUAAUGUACCAGUCGCACGGGAUGUGAAGAGCAAGAUGUUUAUGUUGUCUUUCUGCUGCCGUUUCUGCUGUCUACAGAAUACUCUUUGGCUGGUGUGUGCAGACAUGAAGCUUUGUUAUGGGCUCUGUUUUAUGUUGUUCAAGGCCCAUACAGUGUGUCUGCUAGAAUUUUUUUCACCAGCUGGAAGCCGUAGCUCGCAGACUCUUCUUCCGAUGACCUGCAUUGAUCCGCUGGAGCUGUGGUAGCAGAGUGACAGGAUAUGAGCACAAGUUACUCAAAAGGUGUGAUCUCUAAGAGGAGAGAACUCCUUAGUCGUAUUGGCACCAUAUGAUUUGUUUGCUUUUGGACAGAAGUGUUUCAUACAGUGUAUUAUGGUGUCAUAUACAUGCAUUUUUUUAUUCAAGCACAUUAUGGUCUUCAAUAUAUCUACUUCGCUGAG
This is a non-coding RNA of Lolium perenne, 3645 nucleotides long. The record is from RefSeq and is a predicted model, not a curated record. NCBI's taxonomy places the organism in Eukaryota, Viridiplantae, Streptophyta, Magnoliopsida, Poales, Poaceae.